Molecule: ribosomal RNA, 531 nt
Filed under: uncultured bacterium
Lineage: Bacteria
Description: partial 16S ribosomal RNA
Rfam family: Bacterial small subunit ribosomal RNA
Source: RNAcentral
UGGGGAAUAUUGCACAAUGGGCGAAAGCCUGAUGCAGCAACGCCGCGUGAGUGAUGAAGGUCUUCGGAUUGUAAAGCUCUGUCUUUUGGGACGAUAAUGACGGUACCAAAGGAGGAAGCCACGGCUAACUACGUGCCAGCAGCCGCGGUAAUACGUAGGUGGCGAGCGUUGUCCGGAUUUACUGGGCGUAAAGGGUGCGUAGGCGGAUGUUUAAGUGAGAUGUGAAAUACCCGGGCUUAACUUGGGUGCUGCAUUUCAAACUGGAUAUCUAGAGUGCAGGAGAGGAGAAUGGAAUUCCUAGUGUAGCGGUGAAAUGCGUAGAGAUUAGGAAGAACACCAGUGGCGAAGGCGAUUCUCUGGACUGUAACUGACGCUGAGGCACGAAAAGCGUGGGUAGCAAACAGGAUUAGAUACCCUGGUAGUCCACGCCGUAAACGAUGAGUACUAGGUGUAGGAGGUAUCGACCCCUUCUGUGCCGCAGUAAACACAUUAAAGUACUCCGCCUGGGAAGUACGAUCGCAAGAUUAAAAC